Molecule: ribosomal RNA, 465 nt
Filed under: uncultured bacterium
Lineage: Bacteria
Description: partial 16S ribosomal RNA
Rfam family: Bacterial small subunit ribosomal RNA
Source: RNAcentral
GACGAACGCUGGCGGCGUGCUUAACACAUGCAAGUCGAACGGAAAGGCCCUGCUUGCAGGGUACUCGAGUGGCGAACGGGUGAGUAACACGUGGGUGAUCUGCCCUGCACUUCGGGAUAAGCCUGGGAAACUGGGUCUAAUACCGGAUAGGAGCCAUUUUUAGUGUGAUGGUUGGAAAGUUUUUUCGGUGUAGGAUGAGCUCGCGGCCUAUCAGCUUGUUGGUGGGGUAAUGGCCUACCAAGGCGGCGACGGGUAGCCGGCCUGCGAGGGUGGACGGCCACACUGGGACUGAGAUACGGCCCAGACUCCUACGGGAGGCAGCAGUGGGGAAUAUUGCACAAUGGGCGCAAGCCUGAUGCAGCGACGCCGCGGGGGGGAUGACGGCCUUCGGGUUGUAAACUCCUUUCGCUAGGGACGAAGCUUUUUGUGACGGUACCUAGAUAAGAAGCACCGGCUAACUACGUG